RNAcentral lists this ribosomal RNA (497 nucleotides) under uncultured bacterium. Its description in RNAcentral is "partial 16S ribosomal RNA". It matches the Rfam family "Bacterial small subunit ribosomal RNA", at positions 30 to 523 of the family's 1533-position model. The record is from RNAcentral.
AUUGAACGCUGGCGGCAUGCCUUACACAUGCAAGUCGAACGGUAACAGGUCUUCGGAUGCUGACGCGUGGCGAACGGGUGAGUAAUACAUCGGAACGUGCCUAGUAGUGGGGGAUAACUACUCGAAAGAGUGGCUAAUACCGCAUGAGAUCUACGGAUGAAAGCAGGGGAUCGCAAGACCUUGUGCUACUAGAGCGGCCGAUGGCAGAUUAGGUAGUUGGUGGGAUAAAAGCUACCAAGCCGACGAUCUGUAGCUGGUCUGAGAGGACGAACAGCCACACUGGGACUGAGACACGGCCCAGACUCCAACGGGAAGCAGCAGUGGGGAAUUUUGGACAAUGGGCGAAAGCCUGAUCCAGCAAUGCCGCGUGCACGAUGAAGGCCUUCGGGUUGUAAACUGCUUUUGUACGGAACGAAAAGCCCCGGGUUAAUACCCUGGGGUCAUGACGGUACCGUAAGAAUAAGCACCGGCUAACUACGUGCCAGCCGCCGCGGUAA